GCUGCAGCACAGUCUUCAGCUCCUCUAUUCCUCAGUGAAUCUGUGAUAGUGCUGAUCUCAGCUGCUGCUGGAUCUCUCGUGUAUAUGAUUUUAAUUUGGAUGUUUUGUGUGUGCAGGGGACACAAAGAUGCAGCUCAGAACCAUGAAUAUGAGACUCCUCAAUUACUCCACAAACAGAUUGGACAAAUGAUGGAAUCUGAAAUGACAGAGGUAGUUUACACAUGUUUCAGCACAGAGCAAUGAUCAAACUCUCUGUGAAUCUGUUCCAUCACAAACGAUGGAUUGACCACAAUAACUUAAUAUGUGCUUUAU
Long non-coding RNA from Carassius carassius (crucian carp), 312 nucleotides. RefSeq lists it as uncharacterized. Lineage: Eukaryota; Metazoa; Chordata; Actinopteri; Cypriniformes; Cyprinidae. The transcript has 3 exons. The record is from RefSeq and is a predicted model, not a curated record.